This 253-nucleotide ribosomal RNA is filed under the name uncultured bacterium. Its description in RNAcentral is "partial 16S ribosomal RNA". It matches the Rfam family "Bacterial small subunit ribosomal RNA", at positions 524 to 776 of the family's 1533-position model. The record is from RNAcentral.
UACGAAGGGGGCUAGCGUUGCUCGGAAUCACUGGGCGUAAAGGGUGCGUAGGCGGGUCUUUAAGUCAGAGGUGAAAUCCUGGAGCUCAACUCCAGAACUGCCUUUGAUACUGAGGAUCUUGAGUUCGGGAGAGGUGAGUGGAACUGCGAGUGUAGAGGUGAAAUUCGUAGAUAUUCGCAAGAACACCAGUGGCGAAGGCGGCUCACUGGCCUGAUACUGACGCUGAGGCGCGAAAGCGUGGGGAGCAAACAGG